ACCAGACUCCUACGGGAGGCAGCAGUGAGGAAUAUUGGUCAAUGGUCGGGAGACUGAACCAGCCAAGCCGCGUGAGGGAGGAAGGUACAGAGUAUCGUAAACCUCUUUUGUCAGGGAACAAAGACUGGGACGCGUCCCCGGAUGAGUGUACCUGAAGAAAAAGCAUCGGCUAACUCCGUGCCAGCAGCCGCGGUAAUACGGAGGAUGCGAGCGUUAUCCGGAUUUAUUGGGUUUAAAGGGUGCGCAGGCGGUCUGUUAAGUCAGCGGUAAAAUCGCGGGGCUCAACCUCGCUCCGCCGUUGAAACUGGCGUUCUUGAGUGGGCGAGAAGUAUGCGGAAUGCGUGGUGUAGCGGUGAAAUGCAUAGAUAUCACGCAGAACUCCGAUUGCGAAGGCAGCGUACCGGCGCCCAACUGACGCUGAAGCACGAAGGCGUGGGUAUCGAACAGGAUUAGAUACCCGGGUA
This 464-nucleotide ribosomal RNA is filed under the name uncultured bacterium. Its description in RNAcentral is "bacterial SSU rRNA". It matches the Rfam family "Bacterial small subunit ribosomal RNA", at positions 330 to 792 of the family's 1533-position model. The record is from RNAcentral.